RNAcentral lists this ribosomal RNA (497 nucleotides) under uncultured bacterium. RNAcentral describes it as "partial 16S ribosomal RNA". It matches the Rfam family "Bacterial small subunit ribosomal RNA", at positions 28 to 507 of the family's 1533-position model. The record is from RNAcentral.
GAUGAACGCUGGCGGCGUGCCUAAUACAUGCAAGUCGAGCGGACGGACGAUGCUCUUGCUUCUCUCCUGUUAGCGGCGCACGUGUGAGUCACACGUGUAUCACCUACCUAUCUUUCUGGUAUCACUUCGAGACACCGUCUCUUAUCCCAGAUAAUCUUUUGCUCCACAGUGUUCAUAAGAGAAUUACGGUCUUUCUGUCACUUCUCGCUGCUUCCGCGCUGCAUUAGCUAGUAGGUAAGGUAACGGCUUACCAAGGCAACGAUGCAUAGACGACCUGCCGGGGUGGUAGGCGACACUGGAACUGAGACACGGUCAAGACUACUACGGGAGGCAGCAGUAGGGAAUGGGACGCAAUGGGCGAGAGCCUGACGGAGCGACGGCGCGUGAGAGAUGAAGGUCUUCGGAUCGUGAAACCGUGUUAUGAGGGAAGAACAGAUGUGUAAGGAACUGUGCAGAGCGUGACGGUACCGAAUAAGAAAGCAACGGCUAACUACGUG